This 1518-nucleotide ribosomal RNA is filed under the name Triticum aestivum (bread wheat). RNAcentral describes it as "partial small subunit ribosomal RNA". Lineage: Eukaryota; Viridiplantae; Streptophyta; Magnoliopsida; Poales; Poaceae. The record is from RNAcentral.
AUGAAGUCCACGGUAGUAAGAUCGCCAUGGCUAGCGCUAGCCCUCGUCCUCUCCCUGUGCCUCUCCCUCUCGUUCGCGUCGUGGGAUGCCGAGGACGUAGGUAGGGGUAGUAGGAGGUGGCAGGAAGGGGGCGACGACGAAGGGCGGUCCGGCUCCGGCUCCGGCCGGCCGUACCACUUCGGCGAGGAGAGCUUCCGGGAGUGGGCCAAGUCGCGGCACGGCCACUUCAAGGUGCUGGAGCGUUUCGACCACGAGCUGCUCCGGGGCUCCAUCGGCGACUACCGCGUCGCGUGCCUGGACGCGGCGCCGCGCGCGUUCCUGCAGCCCAGCCACUACGACGCCGACGAGAUCGCCUUCGUGAGGGAAGGCGAGGGCGUGCUGGUGCUGCUGAGGAACGGGAAGCGGGAGUCGUUCUGCGUCAGGGAGGGCGACGUGUUCGUGAUCCCGGCUGGGUCCAUCGUGUACUCCGCCAACACGCACCGCUCCAAGUGGUUCCGGGUCGUCAUGCUCCUCAACCCCGUCUCCACGCCGGGCAGCUUCCAGGAGUUCUCCCCUAUUGGGUUUGGAGGCGAGCAGCCACAGUCCUUCUUCAGCGUCUUCAGCGACGAGGUUAUCCAGGCGGCAUUCAACACUCGGCAGCGGGAGGAUGUGGACAGAGUGUUCCAGAGGAAGAGCAGAGGUGAGGGUCCGAUAUCUGAGGGGUCGGAGGAGCAGAUACGGGAGCUGAGCAGGUCGUGCUCCAGGGGAGGACGCGGCGGCGGCGGCGGGUCGGGUUCCGAGAAGGAGGACAUCCAGCCGCGCAGCCUCACCGGCGAGAAGCCCCGCUACUCGAACAAGCACGGCAGGUUCCACCAGAUCACCGGCGACCAGUGCCACCACCUCCGCAAGCUCGACAUGGAUGUCACCCUCGUCAACAUCACCCGGGGCUCGAUGACGGCGCUGAGAUACGCCACCCGGUCGACCAGGAUCUACAUCGUCGUGGAGGGGCGCGACGGCUACUUCGAGAUGGCGUGCCCGCACGUCUCCAGCUUCGGCCGUUCUGAGCGCCGGGAGCACGAGCAGGAGCGCGAGCGCGAGCACGGACACGGCAGGAGGAGCGAGGAGCGCGAGCGUGAGCAUGGGCAGGGCAGGAGGAGCGAGGAGCGCAAGGACGAGCAGGGAAGACAGGAGGAGGAGCAGGGCCGCGGCCAGGAGCAGGAGAAAUCGAGGGGCUACAGGCAGGUGAGGGCCCAGAUCAAGGUGGGGUCGGUGAUCGUGCUCCCCGCGGGCCACCCGGCGACGUUCGUGGCCGGGAACGAGGGGAACCUCGCCCUGCUGUCCUUCGGCGUGGGCGCCAACAACGACGAGGAGGUGUUCGUGACCGGCGGGAACAGCGUGCUGAAGCAGCUGGACGACGCGGCCAAGGCGCUGGCGUUCCCCCAGCAGGCGAGGGAGCUGGCGGACAGGGUCAUCCGCGCGCAGCCGGAGUCCGUGUUCGUCGCCGGCCCGCAGCAGCAGCGCCGCGUCGCCGACAUGUGA